Molecule: non-coding RNA, 1404 nt
Organism: Marmota flaviventris (yellow-bellied marmot)
Lineage: Eukaryota; Metazoa; Chordata; Mammalia; Rodentia; Sciuridae
Source: RefSeq, a predicted model, not a curated record
GAGAGUUUCCAUUUCCUCUGACUAAUCUAAGUUCCAUUUCUUGGCAGAAGCCUUGCCCCUUUCCACUUCACCACCCAUUCCCGCCUAGCGACAACCAGGCCAUUGACAAUGCAAUACGUCAACCUGCCCGCCUUAUUCCCGCCAAUAGCAGGAUCCCACGAAGGGAGCGUUGCCCCUUUGAAUUCUGAGGCCUGAUCAGUUCGUGCCAGUCCUCGAACGAACCUAUGGUUGCAUGGCUGCUGUCCCCAUUUGAGCGGGCCGGCAGCCAUCUCCAAUAAGUCUCUUGGUUGAACCUCAGUUUCCAGUGUGAUGGAUCUGCUUUCAUUGUGCCUUGACUCAGAUGGGGCUGCCCUGCCUUUAAGCGGGACCCCUAUCCCGCCGGAGAUCACCACCUGAGCGGAGAGCACCUUCUUCACAUCCACAAUCGGCCUACAAAUGGCCUGUAUCAUAAAAUUCCUACAAAAUCAAAUAGGCAGAAUAUCUAAUCAGACCUUUAACCAGCUUCUCCGGGAUUACCAGCUACUUGCUGCCUCAGAAGACACCUAUUCCUCAUGUGAAGGCCUCACCAACUGCUGACGGAACUCUAUCACUUUGAAUAUGGAGCUACAAAAUGGAAACACGACUGGAGGAACUUCAUUAGCCUGUCACCCAGGAUUUCUAGGCCCAUUCGCCCUCGGUUGCCUCCUCCUGACCGCUGGCCUUUUCUCAGCCAAUCCCUCUGCUGGACCUCCUGCCAGAAGCUAAUGUUGUGUCUCCUCUUUCUUCUCCUUCUCGUUGCCUUCGGGUGUCUUCGGUGUCUUUAGGCUCAUCAUGUGGCUCACCUGGUUUGUGGAGUUCGUGGAGACCCUCCGACAGGACAGCUGGCUGAUUCCCCCAUUUGCAGUGACGAGGAUUGGAUGGAGACUCUCCAUGAUCUGUGGCUUCAGGGAACUUUCAUGGAUUUCAGCCCAGAGGAAAUUUAUGGCUUCGGUGCCUGGGUCUUCACGAUGAUGCUUCUUCUCUGUCCGUUUUCAGACAUCCCUCCCCUUCUUUUCCCACAUCUUACCACCUCAGCAGGAAGUAGCCAGACUAAGUCAGCGCCCCCAUCCCCAAUUUAAAGCAAAAUAGGGAGGAAUGUUAGGUACGAGGGAGUUUCCAUUUCCCAGCAGAAGCCUUGCCCCUUCACGCUCCACCACCCAUUCCCGCCUAGUGACAACCAGGCCAUUAACAACACAGUAUGUCACCCUCCCCACCUUCCACCCACCAAAAGCGUUGCCCCUUUGAAUUCUCAGGCCUGAUCAGCUUGUGCCCGUUCUCUAACGGACCUACCUCACCCAGUGCUGAUGGGUGCGCGGCUGCUGUCCCCACUCGAGCAGGUGGGCAGCCAUUUCAUUGCUUCCAAUAAAUCUCAUGGUUGAACCUCUA